GACGAACGCUGGCGGCGCGCCUAACACAUGCAAGUCGAACGAGCGAGAGAGAGCUUGCUUUCUCGAGCGAGUGGCGAACGGGUGAGUAACGCGUGAGGAACCUGCCUCAAAGAGGGGGACAACAGUUGGAAACGACUGCUAAUACCGCAUAAGCCCACGGGUCGGCAUCGACCAGAGGGAAAAGGAGCAAUCCGCUUUGAGAUGGCCUCGCGUCCGAUUAGCUAGUUGGUGAGGUAAUGGCCCACCAAGGCGACGAUCGGUAGCCGGACUGAGAGGUUGAACGGCCACAUUGGGACUGAGACACGGCCCAGACUCCUACGGGAGGCAGCAGUGGGGAAUAUUGCACAAUGGGGGAAACCCUGAUGCAGCGACGCCGCGUGGAGGAAGAAGGUCUUCGGAUUGUAAACUCCUGUUGUUGGGGAAGAUAAUGACGGUACCCAACAAGGAAGUGACGG
RNAcentral lists this ribosomal RNA (455 nucleotides) under uncultured bacterium. RNAcentral's name for it is "bacterial SSU rRNA". It matches the Rfam family "Bacterial small subunit ribosomal RNA", at positions 28 to 496 of the family's 1533-position model. The record is from RNAcentral.